CUUGCCUACACAAGUGCUUUUAACAGUUUGACCCAGACUCUGUCUACACAGCUCUAAAACCAUCCAGCGAGCUUGUCCAGAGUCAAAGAAUCAACUAUCUGCCUCACUAGUAAUUCUGUCCUCAGGACGGUUUUAUGGGGAUCCCACUGGAAAUGAUGGCAGACAUUCUGGGGCAAGAUAGGACUUUGGGGCUGCUCCACCACUUCUGCUUGGUGUAGUGGAAAGAGCGCUGGACCCAGGCAGACGUAAGUUCAAAUCCCGGCAAUGACCACCCACCAGCUGUCCAACCACAGACGAUGUGCUCCCAUUCUUCCAGUGUCCUUUUUUUGUACCUGUAAGAUGGGGAAUCAUUUCUACUACCUGUAAGAUGAGGAGAAAACGAAGCUGGAGAGGUUAAGGGAAUUGCUCAAAGUAACAGCUAGUAAACGGCAGAACUGAGACUUCAUUUAUUUUACAAACAUUAUUGAACACCUACUAUAUGCCAGUGCCUCAGGCAUAGGAAAGUGGAUAAGUCCUAAUUCUAGUUCUCGAAAUGUUCACAGUAGAGUGCCAGAGCCUGAAACGCAAAUAAUCAAUUACAGUCUAGUGUGAUGUGAAAAGCAAGACGUAUUUAGGGAAUGUCCUAAAGCCAGGGGUGAGCCCAGGUAUCGACACAGGAAGUGAGUCGUAAGAAGAGGACCCUUCAGAGGAAGCAGCCACGGAGUUCAAGCUGGAAUAUACAUCAGCAGGCGGACGCUGUAGCCAAGAGGGGAUUCGAGGGACAGGCCAUGAACAACAAGGAAAGACUGAAAAAGUGACACAGACCAGCAGCUAUGGAGACUUGAUGAUCAAACGUUAUGUGGAUCGUGGACGGGAUUCUGGAACAGAAAAAGAAAGGGUAUUACUGAAAUCUAAAUAAAGUCUGGAGGUGUAAAAUGAAGGAGCUGCCUUUCUUAAGCAUCUCUUCCCCAGGCUAGUAUUCCAGGCUCUACGUGUGCAACAGUCACCCCUAAAAGUGAAAUCCAUUCGCCCAGCCUGGAAAUGUGGUCACUUUAUAGAAAAUCUUUAGCUUGUACCAGCACAAAUGGAUGGGUCUUAUUUCCUGUCUACAGUUCAUGGUGUUGCAAAGGCAUUGCCAAAAACUAUUGACUGAGACAUAAAAGCAAGAAAUGGAUGGAAAUGAACGUGGGCACGUUCGCGUGUACAUUUACAAACACACAGAGCCGAACAUGAUCAAGUCUACACUUAAAGGAAGAGAUUCCCUGAAGGGACGUCCUAAUUCAUAACUCAGCCCCCUACCCUGCCCAUGUUCAGAAUCUAUCUCACGCUCUGGAGGAGGGAGAAGAGGGUAGGACCAGGCAAUGUGGUUUAGAUACUGGGGAAGGAACUCGGUCCCCAGUAAGUCUCCCUGAUCCCUGUGCCAUGAUGCUGGAAAUUACAUCCUUAACGAUCCGUCCAUCUUGUAAUUUCAGAAGUAGAGAAAAACAUUCAGAAUCCUCUGCGAUUCUUUUUUUACUAAAAUGAUACUUCCUGAAAACGACUGCACCUUGCCUUUUAAGAACGAGCUUUGGGGUACGUGUAAUGCCGUAUACGAUUUUCACAGAUUUCUGAGGGAACUGUUAGCACCCCCAUUUUACUGAUGAUGAAGCUGGGGUCCUCAAGGAUGAGGUGAGGCAUUCGACAUCACCCAGUUAGGAAAUGGGGCACUGGGGACCCCAGCACACUCUUGAAUUCAGUCCUGAUGUUCUUUCCACUCGGCCACAUUGCCACCUGGCAGUACCCUGAAGCAGAGGGGCAAUCACCCUCAGGAACUCAGCUUCCUUCUGAUUACAAGGUUUGUAAUCUGUGGGAAAAGAGACGGAGCCCGAGAGGCAGGGACCCGGAGGCACGGAUGGAGCCGCGGGACUCACAACAGUGAGCAGCAGUGGGGGCGCGCCUGUCACUCACUUUCCUCACCGGAUCUGGAGAGCCCAGUACGUGCUCAACAACACCCAAUCUCCCUGGACACCGA
Molecule: long non-coding RNA, 1990 nt
Organism: Neofelis nebulosa (Clouded leopard)
Lineage: Eukaryota; Metazoa; Chordata; Mammalia; Carnivora; Felidae
Exons: 6
Source: RefSeq, a predicted model, not a curated record